Sinocyclocheilus anshuiensis is the source of this 322-nucleotide long non-coding RNA. RefSeq lists it as uncharacterized. The record is from RefSeq and is a predicted model, not a curated record. Lineage: Eukaryota; Metazoa; Chordata; Actinopteri; Cypriniformes; Cyprinidae. The transcript is spliced from 3 exons.
CACACCUUUUCUGUCCUGAGACCCUCAGGUGACUACCAAGGAAGAACACUGAGUACUUCUGGUGGGAGACAGGAAAAUCCAGUCUUGAGUACAGUACCAAAUCAAUGUACACCUGUAGAAAGGGCAAUUCUGGAAACACUAGAGAAAAUGGACAUGAAGAUCAACCAUCUGACUUCAUUGGUCCAGUCUCUAGUGGGGAACAGGUGUGUUGUACCCCAAAUGCAGAUGGCUGAAGAGGAAGAGGGUGGUGUCUUUCCUCUAGCAUCUACUGCAGACCUAGAUAGGCUGGAACAAAGAUUAUCAGACAGAGGGUUUAUGCAGA